UUACAUUGUUAACUCGGCGCUCCAGUACAAGAAGCAUAAAUCAAAUGCUAAUGACAGCGAAGAAACAUUGUCUAAUCGAAAAAGUUGUAUCCAGUAACGUCAGCGACCGGCUUCCCAGAAAGGCUCCUCUUUCUAUUGUGAAUUUAUUGAGAAACCAUAUAGGAAUAUCUAUUGUGAGUUUUCCGAAUCCGUAGUUUUGCAUGGAAUGUUUCACGUCGGCAACUGUCCGAGGGAGUAUCCUUCUCAACAGUAUGACGCUUCACUUCUUUGAGUUGAGUUUAGAGAAAGCAGUAGCUGCUCAUCUUUUCGAUAUGUUCUCUACCGAGAAGUAGGAGCCUGUGGAGAGGACGAGUGAGCUCAGUUAUCUUAACGAUGGAAAUGGCUUCCUUCUGUUCAGCUAUCUCUCUGCUAUCACAACGUCUACUCAUUUUGUCGAUGAUCCAUCUACUUGGGAUCGUUCUCUGUCGUUCCACCUGUAGCUCCUUUAUUAUAGGAUAUCAAAAUAUAGGAAGGGGAGGAACCUGAUUGCUGGGAAGUGUUUAUAAGACAGUGAGGCCUUCUGUAAUGGGAAAGAAGAUCACAGUCCUAAUACUAUGGAUUAUUGCUCAAUAUAUAACAGAUGUUGUCGGACAAACAACUCAUUACCUCCCAUGGUCUCUGGAAACCAACUUUCUUGAAUGGGACAAGAACAACACUAUAUACGUUAAUGACAGAAUAGGUUAGCUUCUCUCUCUUUUUCCUUUCGUGUUGUCUUCUAUGUCACUGAUAGCUAGGAAUAUUGAAGAGACUAACAUUUAACGAUAAAGAUUACAUCCAUAACAUUUGACUUGUUAUGCAUCAAUUCGUAUUUAAUAGUAUUGCUUGAGCUAAAGGUAAGUUACGUGUCUCUUGACUCUUUGCUUAUGUGCCUUUAGAGACUCCAACAUUAGUUGAUGAAAAGUAUGUAGUUGCAGAUCUUGGAUUCUUCAUUAAUUUGUGGUAGCUAUGUGUCCACAUUUUGGAGUAAAACUUGAAUUUUUUCAACUAAAUUUUCUUCUUGAAUCUCAUCACCGAAUAUUCUAAUUUGGUUGAGAUUUUCUUAUACUCUAUAGAACAUUGUUGAAUGCUUUCACUUUCUUUGAUUUCUAAAGGAUCACAGUCCCUCUACAGUGAUUGCACAUUAAUGGAGAUGGCUUGGUAGAUCCUUCAAACUCCUUUUUUUUAGACUUUACCAUGC
Long non-coding RNA from Pistacia vera, 1216 nucleotides. RefSeq lists it as uncharacterized. The transcript is spliced from 3 exons. The record is from RefSeq and is a predicted model, not a curated record. NCBI's taxonomy places the organism in Eukaryota, Viridiplantae, Streptophyta, Magnoliopsida, Sapindales, Anacardiaceae.